Molecule: ribosomal RNA, 573 nt
Filed under: Heterosigma akashiwo
Lineage: Eukaryota; Raphidophyceae; Chattonellales; Chattonellaceae
Description: partial Bacterial small subunit ribosomal RNA
Rfam family: Bacterial small subunit ribosomal RNA
Source: RNAcentral
CGGCCCAGACUCCUACGGGAGGCAGCAGUGGGGAAUUUUGGACAAUGGGCGCAAGCCUGAUCCAGCCAUGCCGCGUGCGGGAAGAAGGCCUUCGGGUUGUAAACCGCUUUUGUCAGGGAAGAAAAGGUUCUGGCUAAUACCUGGGACUCAUGACGGUACCUGAAGAAUAAGCACCGGCUAACUACGUGCCAGCAGCCGCGGUAAUACGUAGGGUGCGAGCGUUAAUCGGAAUUACUGGGCGUAAAGCGCACGCAGGCGGUCUGUUAAGCUAGAUGUGAAAGCCCCGCGCUCAACGUGGGAUGGUCAUUUAGAACUGGCAGACUAGAGUCUUGGAGAGGGGAGUGGAAUUUCUAGUGUAGCGGUGAAAUGCGUAGAUAUCUGGAGGAACAUCAGUGGCGAAGGCGACUCCCUGGCCAAAGACUGACGCUCAUGUGCGAAAGUGUGGGUAGCGAACAGGAUUAGAUACCCUGGUAGUCCACACCGUAAACGCUGUCUACUAGCUGUUUGUGACUUUAAGUCGUGAGUAGCGAAGCUAACGCGAUAAGUAGACCGCCUGGGGAGUACGGCCGCAAG